RNAcentral lists this ribosomal RNA (338 nucleotides) under uncultured Streptococcus sp. Its description in RNAcentral is "bacterial SSU rRNA". It matches the Rfam family "Bacterial small subunit ribosomal RNA", at positions 1045 to 1382 of the family's 1533-position model. The record is from RNAcentral. Lineage: Bacteria; Bacillati; Bacillota; Bacilli; Lactobacillales; Streptococcaceae.
AUGGUUGUCGUCAGCUCGUGUCGUGAGAGUUGUUGGGUUAAGUCCCGCAACGGGCGCAACCCUAUUGUUAGUUGCCAUCAUUCAGUUGGGCACUCUAGCGAGACUGCCGGUAAUAAACCGGAGGAAGGUGGGGAUGACGUCAAAUCAUCAUGCCCCUUAUGACCUGGGCUACACACGUGCUACAAUGGUUGGUACAACGAGUUGCGAGUCGGUGACGGCGAGCUAAUCUCUUAAAGCCAAUCUCAGUUCGGAUUGUAGGCUGCAACUCGCCUACAUGAAGUCGGAAUCGCUAGUAAUCGCGGAUCAGCACGCCGCGGUCGAAUACGUUCCCGGGCCUU